GAUGAACGCUGGCGGCGUGCCUAAUACAUGCAAGUCGAGCGAACGGACGAGAAGCUUGCUUCUCUGAUGUUAGCGGCGGACGGGUGAGUAACACGUGGAUAACCUACCUAUAAGACUGGGAUAACUUCGGGAAACCGGAGCUAAUACCGGAUGAUAUUUUGAACCGCAUGGUUCAAAAGUGAAAGACGGUCUUGCUGUCACUUAUAGAUGGAUCCGCGCUGCAUUAGCUAGUUGGUAAGGUAACGGCUUACCAAGGUAACGAUGCAUAGCCGACCUGAGAGGGUGAUCGGCCACACUGGAACUGAGACACGGUCCAGACUCCUACGGGAGGCAGCAGUAGGGAAUCUUCCCAAUGGGCGAAAGCCUGACGGAGCAACGCCGCGUGAGUGAUGAAGGUCUUCGGAUCGUAAAACUCUGUUAUUAGGGAAGAACAUAUGUGUAAGUAACUGUGCACAUCUUGACGGUACCUAAUCAGAAAGCCACGGCUAACUACGUG
RNAcentral lists this ribosomal RNA (496 nucleotides) under uncultured bacterium. RNAcentral's name for it is "partial 16S ribosomal RNA". It matches the Rfam family "Bacterial small subunit ribosomal RNA", at positions 28 to 507 of the family's 1533-position model. The record is from RNAcentral.